AGUGAACGCUGGCGGUAGGCCUAACACAUGCAAGUCGAACGGCAGCACAGUAAGAGCUUGCUCUUACGGGUGGCGAGUGGCGGACGGGUGAGGAAUACAUCGGAAUCUACUUUUUCGUGGGGGAUAACGUAGGGAAACUUACGCUAAUACCGCAUACGACCUACGGGUGAAAGCAGGGGAUCUUCGGACCUUGCGCGAUUGAAUGAGCCGAUGUCGGAUUAGCUAGUUGGCGGGGUAAAGGCCCACCAAGGCGACGAUCCGUAGCUGGUCUGAGAGGAUGAUCAGCCACACUGGAACUGAGACGCGGUCCAGACUCCUACGGGAGGCAGCAGUGGGGAAUAUUGGACAAUGGGCGCAGGCCUGAUCCAGCCAUACCGCGUGGGUGAAGAAGGCCUUCGGGUUGUAAAGCCCUUUUGUUGGGAAAGAAAAGCAGCAGGUUAAUACCCCGCUGUUCUGACGGUACCCAAAGAAUAAGCACCGGCUAACUUCGU
Molecule: ribosomal RNA, 491 nt
Filed under: uncultured bacterium
Lineage: Bacteria
Description: partial 16S ribosomal RNA
Rfam family: Bacterial small subunit ribosomal RNA
Source: RNAcentral